Molecule: ribosomal RNA, 504 nt
Filed under: uncultured bacterium
Lineage: Bacteria
Description: partial 16S ribosomal RNA
Rfam family: Bacterial small subunit ribosomal RNA
Source: RNAcentral
AUUGAACGCUGGCGGCACGCUUAACACAUGCAAGUCGAACGGCAGCAUGGAGAGCUUGCUCUCUGAUGGCGAGUGGCGGACGGGUGAGUAACACGUAGGAAUCUGCCUAUUAGUGGGGGAUAACUCGGGGAAACUCGAGCUAAUAGCGCAUACGCUCUACGGAGGAAAGCGGGCGAUCUUCGGACCACGCGCUAAUAGAUGAGCCUGCGUACGAUUAGCUAGUUGGUAGGGUAAAGGCCUACCAAGGCGACGAUCGGUAGCUGGUCUGAGAGGACGAUCAGCCACACUGGAACUGAGACACGGUCCAGACUCCUACGGGAGGCAGCAGUAGGGAAUAUUGGACAAUGGGCGCAAGCCUGAUCCAGCAAUGCCGCGUGUGUGAAGAAGGCCUGCGGGUUGUAAAGCACUUUAAGCAGGGAAGAAGGCUCUGGAGUUAAUACCUUUGGAGAUUGACGUUACCUGCAGAAUAAGCACCGGCUAACUCCGUGCCAGCCGCCGCAGUAC